This 253-nucleotide ribosomal RNA is filed under the name uncultured bacterium. RNAcentral's name for it is "partial 16S ribosomal RNA". It matches the Rfam family "Bacterial small subunit ribosomal RNA", at positions 524 to 776 of the family's 1533-position model. The record is from RNAcentral.
UACGGGGGGGGCAAGCGUUGUUCGGAAUUACUGGGCGUAAAGGGCUCGUAGGUGGCCAAUUAAGUCAGACGUGAAAUCCCCAGGCUCAACUUGGGAACUGCGUCUGAUACUGGUUGGCUUGAAUUCGGGAGAGGGAUGCAGAAUUCCAGGUGUAGCGGUGAAAUGCGUAGAUAUCUGGAGGAAUACCGGUGGCGAAGGCGGCAUCCUGGACCGAGAUUGACACAGAUGAGCGAAAGCCAGGGGAGCAAACGGG